RNAcentral lists this ribosomal RNA (492 nucleotides) under uncultured bacterium. RNAcentral describes it as "bacterial SSU rRNA". It matches the Rfam family "Bacterial small subunit ribosomal RNA", at positions 30 to 515 of the family's 1533-position model. The record is from RNAcentral.
AUUGAACGCUGGCGGCAGGCCUAACACAUGCAAGUCGAGCGGUAGAGAGGUGCUUGCAUCUCUUGAGAGCGGCGGACGGGUGAGUAAUGCCUAGGAAUCUGCCUGGUGGUGGGGGAUAACGUUCGGAAACGGACGCUAAUACCGCAUACGUCCUACGGGAGAAAGCGGGGGGGUCUUCGGACCUCGCGCCAUUAGAUGAGCCUAGGUCGGAUUAGCUAGUUGGUGAGGUAAUGGCUCACCUAGGCGACGAUCCGUAACUGGUCUGAGAGGAUGAUCAGUCACACUGGAACUGAGACACGGUCCAGACUCCUACGGGAGGCAGCAGUGGGGAAUAUUGGACAAUGGACGCAAGUCUGAUCCAGCCAUUCCGCGUGCAGGAUGAAGGCCCUCGGGUUGUAAACUGCUUUUGUACGGAACGAAAAGGUUUCUCUUAAUACGAGGAGCUCAUGACGUACCGUAAGAAUAAGCACCGGCUAACUACGUGCCAGCACG